AUCUCGUUCCCAGAGUAUGCCUGUUCGCGGGUUAUGUAGUAGCAUGACACUACAUAACCCGCGAACAGGCAUACUCUGGGAACGAGAUUGUAAC
Non-coding RNA from Paramuricea clavata, 94 nucleotides. The record is from the annotation of a GenBank genome assembly. Lineage: Eukaryota; Metazoa; Cnidaria; Anthozoa; Malacalcyonacea; Plexauridae.